Molecule: ribosomal RNA, 443 nt
Filed under: uncultured bacterium
Lineage: Bacteria
Description: partial 16S ribosomal RNA
Rfam family: Bacterial small subunit ribosomal RNA
Source: RNAcentral
CCUACGGGAGGCAGCAGUGGGGAAUAUUGGACAAUGGGGGGAACCCUGAUCCAGCGACGCCGCGUGAGUGAAGAAGUAUUUCGGUAUGUAAAGCUCUAUCAGCAGGGAAGAAAGAAAUGACGGUACCUGACUAAGAAGCCCCGGCUAACUACGUGCCAGCAGUCGCGGUAAUACGUAGGGGGCAAGCGUUAUCCGGAUUUACUGGGUGUAAAGGGAGCGUAGACGGCGAUGCAAGUCUGAAGUGAAAGGCGGGGGCACAACCCCCGGACUGCUUUGGAAACUGUAUGGCUGGAGUGCAGGAGAGGUAAGUGGAAUUCCUAGUGUAGCGGUGAAAUGCGUAGAUAUUAGGAGGAACACCAGUGGCGAAGGCGGCUUACUGGACUGUAACUGACGUUGAGGCUCGAAAGCGUGGGGAGCAAACAGGAUUAGAUACCCCAGUAGUC